RNAcentral lists this ribosomal RNA (545 nucleotides) under uncultured bacterium. RNAcentral describes it as "partial 16S ribosomal RNA". It matches the Rfam family "Bacterial small subunit ribosomal RNA", at positions 355 to 887 of the family's 1533-position model. The record is from RNAcentral.
UGGGGAAUAUUGCACAAUGGGCGCAAGCCUGAUGCAGCCAUGCCGCGUGUGUGAAGAAGGCCUUCGGGUUGUAAAGCACUUUCAGCGAGGAGGAAGGUGGUGGACUUAAUACGUUCAUCAAUUGACGUUACUCGCAGAAGAAGCACCGGCUAACUCCGUGCCAGCAGCCGCGGUAAUACGGAGGGUGCAAGCGUUAAUCGGAAUUACUGGGCGUAAAGCGCACGCAGGCGGUUUGUUAAGUCAGAUGUGAAAUCCCCGGGCUCAACCUGGGAACUGCAUUUGAAACUGGCAAGCUAGAGUCUCGUAGAGGGGGGUAGAAUUCCAGGUGUAGCGGUGAAAAUGCGUAGAGAUCUGGAGGAAUACCGGUGGCGAAGGCGGCCCCCUGGACGAAGACUGACGCUCAGGUGCGAAAAGCGUGGGGAGCAAAACAGGAUUAGAUACCCUGGUAGUCCACGCUGUAAAACGAUGUCGAUUUUGGAGGUUGUGCCCUUGAGGCGUGGCUUCCGGAGCUAACGCGUUAAAUCGACCGCCUGGGGAGUACGGCC